RNAcentral lists this ribosomal RNA (492 nucleotides) under uncultured bacterium. RNAcentral describes it as "partial 16S ribosomal RNA". It matches the Rfam family "Bacterial small subunit ribosomal RNA", at positions 29 to 507 of the family's 1533-position model. The record is from RNAcentral.
AGUGAACGCUGGCGGUAGGCCUAACACAUGCAAGUCGAACGGCAGCACAGUAAGAGCUUGCUCUUACGGGUGGCGAGUGGCGGACGGGUGAGGAAUACAUCGGAAUCUACUUUUUCGUGGGGGAUAACGUAGGGAAACUUACGCUAAUACCGCAUACGACCUACGGGUGAAAGCAGGGGAUCUUCGGACCUUGCGCGAUUGAAUGAGCCGAUGUCGGAUUAGCUAGUUGGCGGGGUAAAGGCCCACCAAGGCGACGAUCCGUAGCUGGUCUGAGAGGAUGAUCAGACACACUGGAACUGAGACACGGUCCAGACUCCUACGGGAGGCAGCAGUGGGGAAUAUUGGACAAUGGGCGCAAGCCUGAUCCAGCCAUACCGCGUGGGUGAAGAAGGCCUUCGGGUUGGAAAGCCCUUUUGUUGGGAAAGAAAAGCAGCAGGUUAAUACCCCGCUGUUCUGACGGUACCCAAAGAAUAAGCACCGGCUAACUUCGUG